UAGAGUUUGAUCCUGGCUCAGAUUGAACGCUGGCGGCAUGCCUUACACAUGCAAGUCGAACGGCAGCACGGGGGCAACCCUGGUGGCGAGUGGCGAACGGGUGAGUAAUACAUCGGAACGUGUCCUGUAGUGGGGGAUAGCCCGGCGAAAGCCGGAUUAAUACCGCAUACGAUCUACGGAGGAAAGCGGGGGAUCUUCGGACCUCGCGCUGCAGGGGCGGCCGAUGGCAGAUUAGCUAGUUGGUGGGGUAAAGGCCUACCAAGGCGACGAUCUGUAGCUGGUCUGAGAGGACGACCAGCCACACUGGGACUGAGACACGGCCCAGACUCCUACGGGAGGCAGCAGUGGGGAAUUUUGGACAAUGGGGGCAACCCUGAUCCAGCAAUGCCGCGUGUGUGAAGAAGGCCUUCGGGUUGUAAAGCACUUUUGUCCGGAAAGAAAACUUCGUCCCUAAUAUGGAUGGAGGAUGACGGUACCGGAAGAAUAAGCACCGGCUAACUACGUGCCAGCAGCCGCGGUAAUACGUAGGGUGCGAGCGUUAAUCGGAAUUACUGGGCGUAAAGCGUGCGCAGGCGGUCUGUUAAGACCGAUGUGAAAUCCCCGGGCUUAACCUGGGAACUGCAUUGGUGACUGGCAGGCUAGAGUGUGGCAGAGGGAGGUAGAAUUCCACGUGUAGCAGUGAAAUGCGUAGAGAUGUGGAGGAAUACCGAUGGCGAAGGCAGCCUCCUGG
Molecule: ribosomal RNA, 730 nt
Filed under: bacterium enrichment culture clone SC-2_18
Lineage: Bacteria
Description: bacterial SSU rRNA
Rfam family: Bacterial small subunit ribosomal RNA
Source: RNAcentral